CCAAACUUGGUGGUGUAAAAUACCACCAAUCAUUUUAUUAUUAACUCCCACAAGUUUGGGAAGUUGCCUGAGCUCACUUAGGCGGUAUUCACUCAGAGUGUCUCACACACUUGCUGUCAGACAAUGGUUGACACUCAAAUAUUCUGAAUGCUUGAUGCUCACGUGGCUGGCAUGUGGGCUGGGACCACUCAAACAGCUGGAAUUUGGAACUUCUAGGGACCCUAGGAAUGCUUCUUUGUCUCUGUGUGGUCUCUUCAGCAUAGCAACAGCAGCGUAGCUGAACAUCUUACGGAUGGCCCAGGGCUCCAAAGGCUCGUUUCCUAAGUGAGAGAGAGCCUGGCUGAAGCUGUAUUACCAUUCAUUCUCCAGCCUCCGAAGUCUCAAAGCAUCACUUCCACCAUACUCUAACUGUCAAGACAAACACAAAGGCCCAGAAACUGCCAGACUGUCUUCUGAAGUGGCUAUAAUAUUUACACUCCCAUCAGCAGUGUAGAAGGGGUCUCACUAUGUUGUCUGGAGUGCUGUGGUGGAGUGGAGUGGCUAUUCACAGCUGAGUUUGCAGAGUAAACCACUACCCUGAAAUCUGGAAAGGCAGGUGCACCCACAGAUCCUCAGCUGAGAUCCAAUUACCUGAAAUAGAAGCUGCCAUUAGGAACACUUAAAAGAGCCUGUUCUGCUGGGACACAGAAUCACUUGCUCCAUCUCAUACAUUGAUGAUGAUUAAUUUGUAUGUGUACCUUCCAAAAAAGAUGGUUGUGUUUGAAUGGAGGCCUUCUGGACAGGAAAAUAUGGAGAGUGCGUGCUUUGGAUUCAAGACUGGGAAUGAGGGGACCAGAAACCUAUUCUGUGGCUGUUUCUUGUUAGGACUUUCCUAAGCCUCUGGAAAAGUGCAAAGUACAAUUAACAUUUGAGUCUGUCUGAGUCAUGAAGAAAUGGAGAUUACUGAAAAUAAUUCAUUUUGGUAUCUUCUUACAUCCUGAGAGACUAAUCUUUCCAAGUUCAUCUGAGGCUCCUCUUCUCCAUGACAACCUCAUCCAGGGAUUUCUUCCUGUCCUGGUGUUUUAUGACAUAAUCACAUCCUUCCUGAGAUAAUGAGCACACAAUUGCCUGGAUACCUGAAGGAAUGGAGACAGCGGCAGAAAACACUGCAGAGAGGUGGAAACAUCCGUUAAUAUUUUAAAAUCCCAUUACUGCUACCAACAAUAAUAAUGGAUGCAUAGAAAUAGAUCUGGAUUAGCUGAGCUUGAAACAGUCCAUCUCACACACACACAAAAGAAUUUCAGAUACAGUGAACCCACAUGUUGAAGCUUUCUAGUAUAAUAAAAAUUUCAACUGUUCUGUUGAAUCAUCUGCCUGAUUGGAGGCUACAGAAAAGAUGUCAUCUUAG
RNAcentral lists this long non-coding RNA (1387 nucleotides) under Homo sapiens (human). RNAcentral's name for it is "non-protein coding LINC00635:4". The record is from RNAcentral. Lineage: Eukaryota; Metazoa; Chordata; Mammalia; Primates; Hominidae.